This 722-nucleotide non-coding RNA is filed under the name Cryptococcus neoformans. Lineage: Eukaryota; Fungi; Basidiomycota; Tremellomycetes; Tremellales; Cryptococcaceae. The record is from RNAcentral.
UAAGCCCUUGUUCUAUAGAUUUGUCUCUAACAUGUUGGGUCUCGGGGGGCUUCCUCUAGAGACUUGGAUGUAAGGGGCUUUACGCAUUCGCAUAACUUAUGAAGUGUGGAUGACUCUAGGAGGGGUCUGAGAAUGUGCUGUGCCAGCCAGGCUGAUAAUUGUUUAAUUGUUAGCUUGGACUUGUACACAGUCUCAUCAGUCUUCAGCUUGGGUCAUUGAUAUUCUGUAAGUCAAAACUUAUCGAUUCACUGUAGUAGGUUGCGGAGGACUUGAAAGUUCUCUCUGCAAUUGAGACACUUACCAGGCCAUCGCAAGUUGGCAGUGUACACUACUGAUUUUACGGUCGUGGGGGACUUGGGAGCUGGUGCUUGUGUCGCAUGAGGUAGAGUUGAUAUGGAUGGAUGGAAGAGAAGCAUAUGUAUGUCGUGGGGGACUUGGGGUAAGACGCCUUGCGGCAAGUAGAGUCAAACCAGUAGUGACUUCUUUUGGUCAUGGGGGACUUUGGUAAUGGUAGUGAGCCGGAAUAAGGGAUGGAUAAAUGUAGUAUGGAUGGUGACAGGGGGAGCAGCAGAGCGUACGCAGUGGGUAUGUAUAUAGUUGAAAAGGGAUGGGCAGUAGAAUUUUGAGGAAUUAAUGACCUAAGGGUGGUUCUAAUAGGCUUGUCAAGAAAAAAGUUAAGUUGAAUCAAGCUGGGUCAAGCAAAGUCUAGAAAAGAUUUAUUG